Molecule: microRNA precursor, 92 nt
Filed under: Medicago truncatula (barrel medic)
Lineage: Eukaryota; Viridiplantae; Streptophyta; Magnoliopsida; Fabales; Fabaceae
Description: miR160c stem-loop (mtr-MIR160c)
Gene: mtr-MIR160c
Rfam family: mir-160 microRNA precursor family
About the family: The hairpin precursors (represented here) are predicted based on base pairing and cross-species conservation -- their extents are not known. In this case the mature sequence is excised from the 5' arm of the hairpin.
Source: miRBase by way of RNAcentral
UCGCUUGCCUGGCUCCCUGAAUGCCAUCUGAGAAGCUUGUCAAAACGAUUGGCAACCUUUCCAUUUGGCAUGAAGGGAGCCAUGCAGGCUGC